This is a non-coding RNA of Peromyscus maniculatus bairdii (prairie deer mouse), 9410 nucleotides long. Lineage: Eukaryota; Metazoa; Chordata; Mammalia; Rodentia; Cricetidae. The record is from RefSeq and is a predicted model, not a curated record.
GCUCCUUCCUGCCUGCGUCUCCUUGGCUGGGGCCUCAGGAGCCUUUCUCUCCUGCUCUUCCUCCCUGCGGUCUGCUCAGUCUCAAGUCCUUGAAUGCAUGUGGGGGCCUUCUCAGGGACCACCAAGAGCCCAAGCUCUCCUGAACUCCAGAUGUCGGUGUCCAGCAUCCCAGACAGCCCACACCUUCCUGUCUCCUCAGGUCUAGGACUGAGACCCCACUGCCCUUGCCCUUCUUACCUUAGCUAAGGUCAAGGCCCUUGGGCACCCCAACAUCUCCUCCUCUCUCACAGGCACCUCCAUCUUCUAACAGGUGCCAUUGGUGAGUUCCUUGCCUGCCCCGCUGUCCUCUCUUCUUUUCUGCCCCCUCCAUGCAGUCCACCUGCUUCCCCUUCCUCAGUCCCAGCCCCUACCCAGAGUGCUUCUUGGACAUGGGGCCCAGUCAUCCUGUGCUCGGGUUUAGCAUUCCCUGUAACAGCCUGCACACGGAGAGAGCAAAGGUUGGGGCUUAGGAGGCUGUGAGCUGUCAUGCGCAGUGUGCUCCCCCAAGCUCAGUGGCAUUAGAGGGGGCCGUGGAUUUCCACAGCAGACAUUUUGAUGGGGGCUCUGCAGGGAUGGUUGCUGUCUGCUCUGAGGCCUCUGGGGUCUCUGGUGGGAAGACUGUGUGGCCAAGAAUAAUGCAGACAGCUAGAAGCUGGAGUCAUGCUGAGACUUAUUUACUCUGCAUCUGGUACCUGGGCCGGGAGGACCCACAGGCUAAGCUGGGCUGGGGCUGCCUUUUUUGGUUGUCUCCCCCCUGGCUACUUCCCAAGGCUCAGGCUUGCUCACACUUCUAAGCCGGCUGCUCGGGACUCCAAGGCUCCAAAGCUCACAGUGCUAUUUCCUGCUGCUUUGUUGGUAGGGCAACCAAAAUUUCCCUGAUUCACAGGGAGGGCCUUAGGCCCAGAGGCAAGAGUGUGAGGAACCCAGGGCAUGCUGAGGCACCUGGGAACCUUGGCUGUGGUGGUGCCUUUGCUGCCUACUAUGGCAUCAUCAUCAUUUACAGGAACUCCAGCGGUGUAUUACUGUCUAGGGGUCUCCAUGGGGUUUGUUUUCUCUGCCAGUUAAAGGAUUAAAAGGCAAGAAAAAGCUUGUGCGUGACGUUGAGAAAUUGAGAAUACAGCCAACAGGAGCAGGCAGAUCAGCAGUUGAAGAAAGGCAUUUAUUAGCGUGAGGAAGCACGCACACUAGCAGACCCACAGAGAAAGACCCUCCACAAAGCAGGGGGGACGCCAGAUUCAGAAGCCCCAAACUCCAGUCUCUUCUCAAGGACUAAGAUCUUUAAUCCUUGGAAGGCUCUCCCUUCCCUAGUGUAGGGUUGUUUGAAGGAAAUUAGGAUAGUCUGUUGGCUAUAACUCUUGUGUAACGUGUCACCAUCCACCUUGAACUCCUUGGUGGGCUAUCAGCAGGAGAAGGUCCUAUUGGUGAAGGGAAAAGCCCUUUCAGUCUUUGUUUUCAGCUUCCAGGCUGUUUUCUCAGGUCAGGAGGGUGAGGAAUAGGCUGGUCAUCUUGGAAGUUUCUACCUUAAAAACCUAGUCAUUGGCCCUCUCCCUGUCUGCCUACUUGGGAAUCUGUCCGACUCGUAGUCCGGCAGUUGGUCAGAAAUAUAGCAGGACUAAUCUGAGGUGACCUCCUAUGCCCUGGAGCCCUGACCUCUUGCUUCUGCUGACCUCUUGGGUUCCUGCUGGCCGUUGGCUGAGGCAGAACUGGGGCUUUUGGCCUGAACUCCAGGUGUCUGGUGUGAUCUGGCUUCCCCCAUUGCUGGUGGGUCCCAAGGCUGGGUCCUAACGAGGGAGCUGGUUAAGACUGUGCUCCAACAUUGCAGGGCACACAGUAUCUCUGCCAAUUUUAUUUCAGUUCAGGCCCAAGAGAGAGGCCAUGUUGCGCUUGUCGGGAGGCUCUCCAUGUUAUUCUGUAGGAAGAGUGUCCAGUGGACUGGCCUGGCCUCACCUCUGGGAGAUGCCAGCUCCCUCCUUCCUUCCCCCUCUGCCCUCACAGCCUGAGUACCUGCCCAGUCACCUGACCCUCAGCCUGCGGCCUUGCUGUCCUAUCCUGGAGCAGCAUGUACCCUGCCUGGAGACUCUCACUCCAGACAGUCCCUCCUGUCCUUCCCUGGCACCCAAUUUAAUACUUUCUUGCUAUUCAUCUCCUUCCACUAGAAUGUGUAAAGCAUCCAGCUGGAGGCAGUGGUGUGGUUUGUUCUAGCCAUUGUGGCACUGUGGUUAGCUAGUGACCUUGAGUGGCAGUGGGAAGGUGGCUUUAUGUGAUGGGGCUCUUGGAAGAGCUGCUGUAGUAAAGGACCUUGUCGCCAAGGCUUCUAUGCACCUCAGCCCACAGCAGGACCCCUGAGUAAGCCCUCGGGGUGUUGAUGAAACUGAAAACACUGUGUUGCCUGGUCCAGGCCACAGAACUCUUGAGUGAUGAGGCUGUGGGCCCAGCCCAGGCUGCCGGACCCCUGGACAGGACUGUCCCAACUGUGAUGUUCUCAGAGCUUCUUGGUUAGCCCUGUCUCAGAGGAGGAUCACUCCAGGGCCAGAAUGCGAAUAGCUAUCCCACGAAGCCCAGCACCCGGCAGCCAGUGACUGAGUCUUGAUGCGGUAUACCCUCCCAUCUCAGAAUGGCGCAUCCUGAUCUUGUGAGAGAUAAGAUGGGCGUACGCCUAAGCUGCUGCCAGUGUGCUGCUGGGCGCGGCACAGCGGACAGCUGGAGUUGGGUCCGUCUUUGUCUGCUGCCAGCUGCUGUGUGUGCGCCAGGCUCCUCACACCAAGCUCUCACCUGAUGGAGGUCCCCAAGUGUUGUCACCUGACCUGGGUGCAGGCUCUGAGCAUACUAGCUGCUCUGUUGCCAUGGCUACAUGAUAGGCCUGGGAGGGCUGAGGACCGAGUGAGAAGAUGCAAGAAGGGAGGCCCCAGAUAGAGCAUCCACCACCUUUCCCUGUACUUGGCAUGCACAGACAGCCCCGCACAGGGUAAGGCUGAUCCUGCCCGUACUAGCUACAAAUACACAGAUAAACAAACACCUAGCUAAAUAGGAGUUGGCUAUUCCGAGGACUGGAGCAGUCUGCCUUUGCAGGUAGACAGUUGCCAAGCUCCUAACUAGAAAAGGAGUUUUGUGACAGAGAAAAAUGUAGUGGGUUUUUCCCCCCCUUCUUUUCUUAAAGUGAAGACACACACACACACACACACACACACACACACACACACACACACACACACACUGAGAAAGAGGGAUUUUAUUAUGUCUUAUGUGAAGUGGUUCCAUGGUGCCAAAGAAAGAAGAGGAAGAAGUUCUGUGAGAGCUUAUAAUGAGUUCUAGCUUUAGAAGCAAUCAAAAGGAGUAAUUGCACAACUUAAACACGAAGUUACGGUGUUUCCCAGGGUCCCUUGCUUCUAUUCUCUGUUGCUCAUGGUGGGGGCAGGCAACUGUGCUGUCUGCACCUUCCAGCACACUGGCUUUGGCAUGCUCUACCCUAACUAGCUGGGAUCUGGGUAGAGGGCUCCUGGGCUUGUAGACUCCCUUCCCCCCAGGCCUGGCCUUAUCUUUCACCAGAGGACUGUGGGUCAGCUUCUGCCUGGGAUUGGCUUCUUGCCCAACUCCCGCAGAGAGGUGGAGAGCGAGGUCUAGAUAUCUGGCACAUAUCCCACUGUGCCCGGGAGUUGGAUCCCACGAGAAGCUGAGGUCUGCCCAGUAGCCAGUGACAGGAGAGACAUUGGUCUGUGCCAGCUCCCUGCCCCUGAGCACUGUCAGGGUUUGCCUUCCUAAUGUUAGUGAUAGACCCAGCACGAGGUCCCAGCCCUGCUGCACCUGCCCACCUCUGCCACAAUGGGACUGCUUCCUGCUCUGCAUCCCUCUACCCAGGGAUGGUUAUCAAAGAAGGGUGCACAGAUGCAGAUGUUAUCAUUCCUUCCACAGCGACUCCUGCAGAGUGUAUGGGGCUGCCUGCCAGGCUGGCCCAGCUUUGGAUGCCCGCGAUCACCAAGGCAGUCUUCAGAACAAGGGUGCUUGCUCUGGGCUAUGACAUUGCCUCGCUGGUAUGGAGCAAAUACUUUUCCCUGAACAGCGUCGGAAGGGCCUUUGAUCGCAAGAGAGGAAGGGGUCCUGGUCUGUGGUGGGCAUGAGUCUGCCCUGUCCACACUCCUGGAGGGCUUAGGGUCUAGAGGAUGGCUACCUGCAGUGAGCCACCUCCUCCCCAAAUAACAGGUCAGGGGUUGCUUUUGUUCAAAUUGUUUAUCCAAAACGAAUGCCACUCAUUAGUCAUUGACACUUGUGGAGGGACCAUGGGACCAACAGGGAUUAGGGCCAGGGCCAGAGGAUAGGGCUUGUGUUGUUCCAGUACCUGUAGCCAAACCAUAUGCCAGGUGGUGCUGUGGGGUCACUGGUGCGAUCCAGAUGCUAUAGGGACAGACACCUAGAAAAGAGCAUGCAGAUGUGGAGAGCAUGCCUGGAAGCUGACCAGUCAGCACCCACUUGUCCCAUCUACUGCUGCCCCUCUCUGCUACCAUUGACAGAUCAGAGCUGACAGGAGCUGAGACCCCACCCCCACCCCACCCCGAGCUCCUCACUACCUUCUUGUCCAUGGCUGGUUUCUAGAGAACAGCCACCCACCCUGUACCAUAUUUAAGCCCAGUAAUUGAAUUGCAAUUGAUAGUACAUGCCGGUUUAAGAUCAUGCUAAUUGCUUCAUUUCCCAGAACACUCUUAAAAAGAAAAUGAAUUUCCCUGUAAUAUUUGCAGUGGGGUGAAAUGACCCUUGUGGAAAUCAAUCCUCGCUCCAUGAUGAGCUAUGAGUAGAUGGGUGUACUGGGGCAGGGGCCACCUGCACUCUUCCUUGCCUGCCUGGACAGGUUUAAGGAGUGUCCCUUACUCGGGCUUGAACCUAGCCGUGAUCCAGAUAAGGGAGCAGACAUGACUCCUUGUCCAGGGUCUCACAGUGGCCAGUGUGGCACUCAGGAGAGGUGGGACUCCAGGCAAUGGACACAGGUAGGAGACCCAUUGUACCCUUCCCUGAAAGGCUGUAGAGGUCAUAGGACCUCUUGAACCCUCUUACCCCUUAAGAAGAGGAGGUGACAGUGUGUGCCUGGCCAUCGGCACAGCCCCUGCAGUCCUUGGCAGUGUGAGCAGAUCCCUCAUGGAUAUUUCGGCUACUUCAGUGGACAAAGAGUUAAGAUAAAGUUUGGCAAUGUGGAGGGUGGGAGAGACCAGACGACAAGCUGGCAUCCAGAAUUCUCCUGGCACAGGCUUCUCCUUACACCGUUUUCUAGCUUUACAGAACCACUCUGUGCCUGGAUAGAAUUGGGACUACUACCCCCCAACCCACUCACUCACUCUUCACCCACUCACACCACCCACUUACUUCCCCACUCACCCUGCUCAUACCCCCUACCAACCUGUGCACCCCUCCCUGAUGACUGCUCAUCCUUCCAUCUCUCAUACACCUUCCUGCUCCCCACAGGAAGGAGGCAGAGCCUUUUGUUGGGAAGCCCCUGGCUACAGGGGAUGGCUCUAUAGGUACCAUGGGCAUGCUGUGCCAUGGAUAGAUAGCCCCUGGCCUUCCUGGCAAGCCACCACCAAGGUGCUAAGGACACCCUAGACUGCAACUGGGCUGUGUAGGCCCUGGGAUCUCUGCAUGCAUAGUGGGAGCUUGUGGUUCUGGGUGAAUGCUUAUGGGUCAGGAUCUGAGCAAGUGGACCCUGCCCAUCCACCCCUUCUGGCCCUCAGGCACCCCUAACAGGAAGGGGACCUUUCCCUGAACUCCAGGAGCUAGAUAGCUCUGGGCUUGCUCUAUACCACCAACCCCAGUUUCUGUAGCCUCCCGGCUUCUAACAGGGUUCUUCCUAUUUCUACAGAGUGACGUGCUGGAUGUGAAGCAGAUCAUCAAGGACUUGGCCCGCAGUGAUACUAGAACAAGAUGUCAUUGGUGGCAUUUCACUCGAGCCACCUGUCAGCCAGAGAGCUGCUUGCCAGCCCUCAGUGUCCCCUUUCCCUGGCUGCUGAGGAAGGCCCAGGGCAAGGCCUCUUCCCCCUGUUCCCUUACCCACUAUGGACUUCCAGAGUGGUGGCUCCAGACAUUGCUCCUUUGAGCUUGCCAUCAGGGCUGGGAGAUGCACAGCACCAAAUGGCUUGUCUACCCCAGAUGCCUCCCAGUCCCUGUAGGCUGAUGGAAGGAGCCGCCUUACAGUGGUGGGGAUGUCCAUCCAUCCCAGCAGCUGAGGGCAGGAAACUGUCCUGGGGAGAGAGCUAUGCAGGGCUGACCUGCUUGCAGGGUAGACAGGGAGAACACCUGGAGGCCAAGCAGGUGGAGAAAGAGCAGCUGGCCCAAAGUCCCAGCAUGGUGGGCGUGGGCCAUGGGUGCAUUGGAGGACCCCAUGCCCCACCCAGCUUCUGGUGCCAUUCCAGGGUCCAGCAGCAAGACGCCCACAUGCCAGCAGAGCUUCAGCCCAGAGCCAGCCAAGCCAGUCCUGCUGCCCGGCACUCACCUCUGCACCAUGACACGCAAGCCCGACUUUAGCCCCCAGGAGAUGGAGGUGCUGGUGCCAAGGGUGGUGUGCCACCAUCACUGCUGUUUGGAGCACCGCGGGGCGCACCAGCACGGGAGCUUCAGGUGUGGAGGAGGGUCCUGCAGGCUGUGAACUCUGCUACUGCAGCACCUGACCUGAGUAACCUCAAGCACAAGUGGAGGGACCUUCGUGGUGCUGUGUGCAAGAAAGUGGGCAAGAGUUCUAUCCCUGGCCUUGUCCUCACUUCCAUUGAGAGAUGGUAGCUGGGACCUUCUCAGCUCCUAUCCUUCAACAAAAAGUCCAAGCAGGGAUCCCCUACCAGGGAAGUGGGCCAUUGCACACAUCCUGCGAGCUGAGAGCCUCCUGUGCCAGCCACUUCCAGUGUUUGGACCCCAAGUUGGGUGGGAGGCACUUCUUGGCCUUAAACUUCGGGCCUACUUUAGUCUUGAUAUUAUAGUCAGGAGCCUCCAAGUCCCCGGAGUCCCCUCAUGAAUUCACUUGCAGACCCACAGUGCCCAUAGGUCUUCCCUCAGGUGAGGAAUGGUCUGUUUCCACCAUACUAGAGCGGUGGUAGCGGGAGGUGGGUAGUGCUGGAAAUGCUGGGUGCCUGUCCCCCAAAGAGGUUGUCUAGACAGAACGCUGGGCAUGGCAGGGCCUAACUGUCUCUCCUGCACAGCUUGGCACUACACAGGCUCCCCCAGGGUUCCAGCUCAGCUUCUGCCACGUCACAUCUAAUAUGUAGUGUAACCAUCUGACUCCGCCUAGUGCCCCGGUGAAUGUACUUGGCAUGCAGAGCUCAGAGCAUGGCUGUGAUAGGCCAACUGAUUUAAGAAACUGCAGGUCACAGCAGAGAGACGUGACUCCCUGUGCCGAAUGGCAGGCCAACUAGCCAUGGAGUUUGGCAGUUGAAGGAAGGCCCUUUUCCAAUCUCUUCCUCCCUCCCUCUUCCUGCAGGCUGAGCCCAGACCUGGAGGGUGGGUAUCCAGGUGAAGCUGCCUUGGAGAGGUAGGUCACCUAGUGUCCCUCCCUGUGCCUUCUGGUACGGGCAUCCCACGGGCCAGUCCUCACUGCUGUGGAGUUGGGAUGGAGCCAGGAGGGAGCACAGGCCUCACGGCCCAUGCUCACACCUUCCUCAUGCUCGGGCCUGAGUCGCCCUGUAGAUGGGGAAGCAGAAGCUUGGAGUGGACAGAGAUCCUUGUCCCAGAUCACCCCUGCCAAGGUCCCCGGGAAGAGUGCCGAUGAGGGAGGAGGUGAGCUGGAGAGGGACAGCAGAAAUCUGUUCAGAAGACAUUCCAGAUGGGAACUCCAAUGGCUCCACAAACCCAGAGCAGGGCUGGAGGAAGGAUCCAAGAUGCUCCCUCCUGUGCUUUCAAGUGUUGCCUCACUCAGAAACAUGGCCGUCUCUGACUCAGUGUGGGAUGCAAUGAAAGUCCUUUUCCCAUACCUGGCCUCCCCUGGCCCAGAGACCAGAGGGGCACAGCUAUCUCCAAGCUGACAGCAUGGGGAAUUGCUCCUUUGAAGACCAGCACUGCCCACCUCAACCCUGCAUCGUCGUCAGUGAAGGUAGCCUGGGCUGACUCAGCUCUCAGUACCUGGCCCUCAGUGCCCAGCGCCCACCCUUGGCCCUCCUGCUUCCCCUGGUGUUUGGGGCCCCAGGAACCAGCUAUUGGGUUCCCUCUGCCACAGGACCCGCUGUCUAGAAGUUUCAUGACUGGCAGCUUGAGACACUUCAGUGCUUCUGGAACCAAGCCUCACCAGCAGGGGCCUCCAGCUGAGCCACCUGGGGGCCAGCCUCUCCAGCCCUGGCCUGGGCUCAGCCUUUCAAACAGCCAGCCAUCUUCAGCCAGAACCCAAGCCUGCUCCAGACAACUCUGGUGAAGAAAUAUACCGGGAAGAGCUGUGGAAGAGCACAUAGAAGCCAUGCUGAGGUUGAGACUUACAAGCUGGGAGGACGUCUGCUGGACCUGACUCUCUGAGGACAUCAGGAGACCACAGUCACUCAGCAAACACCCACUCAGACUGGGGAGCACAGAGGAAGGCCUGACCCUAGGAUGCUCCACGGGCAGUGAGGAAGUUUUGCUGAGAUUUGUAACUUGCCUCUCAGGAAUCUGAAAGCAUAAGCAUUCAGGAGCUGCUGUCUGAGGACUCGGAGCAGGCUGGCUCUGCAUUGCUGUGCCAGGCUCCGGAUGCAAUUUUAUAAACGUUGUGAGCUGAAAUAGCAGCAUGAAGCUGAGCAGGCAUCCCAAACGGAGCACAGUAAAGGAGGAAGUGUGCAAAAAAUAGAGCAGCGGAUAAACACGGAGGGGCCCGGAGCAGGCAAUGGCAUCCUCUGACAACUUGACCUCUGGCUCCUACCUCCAGACAGAACUCACUUCAACUGACCUGCCCAGGUGCUCAGACCACCAGGGUGAAAAGUCAGGCAUGGGUAGAUGACAUCCGAAGUGCGGACCGUGCCCUUGUGCUGGAAGACACGGGCAGGAAGCAGUGAUGGAACUCCUGGAGGAGGCACCUUUAUGACGAUGUUGGAAACACAUUCAAAACCCAGGCUUUCCUCUGAAUAGGGCUGCAUAGUGCUGGAGGCCAUUCCAUGGAUUCAGAGUCAGCCCCACCAGGGUGUGAGGGGUGGAUGGACCAGCUUCACCUGCUCAGUGGAGGAGGACUCUUGCUUUGUGAGGCUAGCUCCACUGAGUGCUUUCUCCUAGAAGGCUCUGAAGUAGCAGCUGGAGGUCUGGCCCACACCAAGCUUCUCCCUCCCUGCUGCUCUUGCCCAUGGAGGAGCCUCACCUCACUGUCUCUAAGUAAUUUGCAUGGAUUUGCAUACAUUGUUACCCACAGUCCUAUUUGUUUCUGGAGAGGCACCUUUAAUAAUAAAUGUAGU